CCGCCUCCUCCACUCAUCUGGCCACAGACUCCCUGAACCCUCCACCACCAAAUUCUCGAAAUUCCCUCCCCGCCCAUCUAUCUCGACGGUAGUGUUGGACCGCUCGCUGGAGAGUAGAAGAGGUGGUCUCGUACUUUAUAUCUUCCGCGUCAACCACCUGUACUUUAGAGUUGAUAAUGGCGAUAUGUGAGGCAUGGACAUUAAUUUUUCACAGUGUUGGAGAAGAGGGAGCUCGUUGGAGAAGAAGAUGUUACGUUUUUUAUUUUAAUAUUUCUUUUGUAAGGAUAGUUCAGCCAUUUCAUAUAAGUCAACAUUCAAUUUUGAAAUAGGGGCUGGUGUGCUUUGGAAAAUACAAUAUAGGGGGUUUUUUGCUAAAAUUUUUAACACGAGGUGUUUUUCACCAAUUAGAAAUAACAC
Molecule: long non-coding RNA, 417 nt
Filed under: Erythranthe guttata (spotted monkey flower)
Lineage: Eukaryota; Viridiplantae; Streptophyta; Magnoliopsida; Lamiales; Phrymaceae
Description: long non-coding RNA (EGUT_LNC000201)
Source: RNAcentral